Molecule: ribosomal RNA, 164 nt
Filed under: Urogonimus certhiae
Lineage: Eukaryota; Metazoa; Platyhelminthes; Trematoda; Diplostomida; Leucochloridiidae
Description: partial 28S ribosomal RNA
Rfam family: Eukaryotic large subunit ribosomal RNA
Source: RNAcentral
CUCGGAUCAGACGUGAUUACCCGCUGAACUUAAGCAUAUCACUAAGCGGAGGAAAAGAAACUAACCAGGAUUCCCCCAGUAACGGCGAGUGAACGGGGAUUAGCCCAGCACCGAAGCCUGUGACCAAUUGGUUACUAGGCAAUGUGGUGUUAGUCAUCUGCUGC